CAAAAAGAGGUUGCUCUCACGGAAACAGGAGGUCAGUGAGAUGGCGGGGACGGUUAACGACAGCCAAGCGGCCCAAGUGGGAAUGAGUACGACUGACCAAAGUGACAAGGAACAAAACUCUCCACAGGACCAACAGGAACAGGCCGUUUCAUGCGAGGAAGGGAGCUGUUGUGUUACACAAGAGAAAUCUGAAUCCGGCCAGACCCCAAACAUUGCACAGGC
Sinocyclocheilus rhinocerous is the source of this 222-nucleotide long non-coding RNA. RefSeq lists it as uncharacterized. The transcript is spliced from 3 exons. NCBI's taxonomy places the organism in Eukaryota, Metazoa, Chordata, Actinopteri, Cypriniformes, Cyprinidae. The record is from RefSeq and is a predicted model, not a curated record.